AGGAUGAAUGCUGGCGGCGCGCCUAACACAUGCAAGUCGAGCGGUAAGGCCCUUAGGGGUACACGAGCGGCGGACGGCUGAGUAACGCGUGGGAACAUGCCCCAAAGUGAGGAAUAACUGCCCGAAAGGGUAGCUAAUGCCGCAUAUGAUCUUAGGAUUAAAGGAUUUAUCCGCUUUGGGAGUGGCCUGCGUACGAUUAGAUAGUUGGUGAGGUAAAGGCUCACCAAGUCUACGAUCGUUAACUGUUCUGAGAGGAUGAUCAGUCAGACUGGAACUGAGACACGGUCCAGACUCCUACGGGAGGCAGCAGUGAGGAAUCUUCCACAAUGGGCGAAA
This 336-nucleotide ribosomal RNA is filed under the name uncultured bacterium. Its description in RNAcentral is "SSU rRNA". It matches the Rfam family "Bacterial small subunit ribosomal RNA", at positions 26 to 380 of the family's 1533-position model. The record is from RNAcentral.